GGCUCAGAAUGAACGCUGGCGGCGUGCUUAACACAUGCAAGUCGAACGAGAAAUCUUUAGCUCGCUAGAGAAAGUAAAGUGGCGCACGGGUGAGUAACGCGUGGGUAAUCUGCCUCCGAAUCGGGGAUAACAUUGCGAAAGCGAUGCUAAUACCGGAUAAAAUCUGGUUGGCUUCGGUGAACCGGAUCAAAGGUGGUCUCUUUAUAAAAGCUACCGUUUGGAGAUGAGCUCGCGUACCAUUAGCUAGUUGGUGAGGUAAAGGCUCACCAAGGCGACGAUGGUUAGCUGGUCUGAGAGGAUGAUCAGCCACACCGGAACUGGAACACGGUCCGGACUCCUACGGGAGGCAGCAGUGAGGAAUUUUGCGCAAUGGGGGAAACCCUGACGCAGCAACGCCGCGUGAGUGAUGAAGGCUUUCGGGUCGUAAAGCUCUGUCAGGUGGGAAGAACCCACCAAGUGUUAAGACCACUUGGUGCUGACGGUACCACCGAAGGAAGCACCGGCUAACUCCGUGCCAGCAGCCGCGGUAAUACGGGGGGUGCGAGCGUUAUUCGGAAUCAUUGGGCGUAAAGGGCGCGCAGGCGGUUUUGUAAGUCAGAUGUGAAAUCCCGGGGCUUAACCCCGGAAGUGCAUAUGAAACUAUGAGACUUGAGUAUGGGAGAGGGAAGCGGAAUUCCUGGUGUAGCGGUGAAAUGCGUAGAUCUCAGGAGGAACACCGGUGGCGAAGGCGGCUUCCUGGACCAAUACUUGACGCUGAGGCGCGAAGGCGUGGGGAGCGAACAGGAUUAGAUACCCUGGUAGUCCACGCAGUAAACGUUGAUCACUAGGUGUAGCGGGU
Molecule: ribosomal RNA, 838 nt
Filed under: uncultured organism
Description: bacterial SSU rRNA
Rfam family: Bacterial small subunit ribosomal RNA
Source: RNAcentral